UCCCUGAAGGUUCAGUGGUUAGGACUCAGCGCUUUCACUGCCGGGGCCUGGGUUCAAUCUCUGGUCAGAGAA
RNAcentral lists this transfer RNA (72 nucleotides) under Bos taurus (domestic cattle). It matches the Rfam family "tRNA". From Rfam's summary of the family: Transfer RNA (tRNA) molecules are approximately 80 nucleotides in length. Their secondary structure includes four short double-helical elements and three loops (D, anti-codon, and T loops). Further hydrogen bonds mediate the characteristic L-shaped molecular structure. tRNAs have two regions of fundamental functional importance: the anti-codon, which is responsible for specific mRNA codon recognition, and the 3' end, to which the tRNAs corresponding amino acid is attached (by aminoacyl-tRNA synthetases). tRNAs cope with the degeneracy of the genetic code in two manners: having more than one tRNA (with a specific anti-codon) for a particular amino acid; and 'wobble' base-pairing, i.e. permitting non-standard base-pairing at the 3rd anti-codon position. RNAcentral also lists the same sequence under 1 other name. The record is from Rfam by way of RNAcentral. Lineage: Eukaryota; Metazoa; Chordata; Mammalia; Artiodactyla; Bovidae.